GAUGAACGCUGGCGGCGUGCCUAAUACAUGCAAGUCGAGCGAACAGACGAGGAGCUUGCUCCUCUGACGUUAGCGGCGGACGGGUGAGUAACACGUGGAUAACCUACCUAUAAGACUGGGAUAACUUCGGGAAACCGGAGCUAAUACCGGAUAAUAUAUUGAACCGCAUGGUUCAAUAGUGAAAGACGGUUUUGCUGUCACUUAUCGAUGGAUCCGCGCCGCAUUAGCUAGUUGGUAAGGUAACGGCUUACCAAGGCGACGAUGCGUAGCCGACCUGAGAGGGGGAUCGGCCACACUGGAACGGAGACACGGUCCAGACUCCUACGGGAGGCAGCAGUAGGGAAUCUUCCGCAAUGGGCGAAAGCCUGACGGAGCAGCGCCGCGUGAGUGAUGAAGGUCUUCGGAUCGUAAAACUCUGUUAUUAGGGAAGAACAAAUGUGUAAGUAACUAUGCACGUCUUGACGGUACCUAAUCAGAAAGCCACGGCUAACUACGUG
RNAcentral lists this ribosomal RNA (497 nucleotides) under uncultured bacterium. Its description in RNAcentral is "partial 16S ribosomal RNA". It matches the Rfam family "Bacterial small subunit ribosomal RNA", at positions 28 to 507 of the family's 1533-position model. The record is from RNAcentral.